RNAcentral lists this ribosomal RNA (253 nucleotides) under uncultured bacterium. RNAcentral's name for it is "partial 16S ribosomal RNA". It matches the Rfam family "Bacterial small subunit ribosomal RNA", at positions 524 to 776 of the family's 1533-position model. The record is from RNAcentral.
UACGUAGGGGGCAAGCGUUGUCCGGAAUCAUUGGGCGUAAAGCGCGCGUAGGCGGCCAGAUAAGUCCGGUGUGAAAGUCACAGGCUCAACCUGUGAAUGCCGCUGGAAACUGUCUGGCUUGAGUCCGGAAGGGGCGAGUGGAAUUCCUGGUGUAGCGGUGAAAUGCGCAGAUAUCAGGAGGAACACCAAUGGCGAAGGCAGCUCUCUGGGACGGUACUGACGCUGAGACGCGAAAGCGUGGGGAGCGAACAGG